GACACAGGUCAGUGAAGGCUACAGAGAAGGUAGCAUUUGUGUUAUAUGUGAAGGUUGAGUAGGAAGUGGUGAGAUGACUUGAAGGGAGGGUAGACGAAAGUCAGUGUGCUCUGAGGGGCAGUUCACCUCCAGGGUCUGAGGCCACCCUGCAAGUUGGAGCAUGAUUGGAAUUUUCUCUCCUGCAACCUGACAAAUGAAGCGCGCUUUGCCAUGAGUCAACUGUUACGGGAAAAGGAAUUCCACAGGCAUGCCCUGACUGACCACAAAUGGGCGAGAGCACAUGUGAGUACAGAAUGCCCAAAGGUUGGUGUGGAAUAAUCAAAACGAUUCAAAUGCUUGGUGCUGUACCAGAGUUGUAGGAGGCCUAGCCUCAGCACUGUACUGCUGCUCUCACUCUCCAACCUGCACUGGAGAGGAAGGUCAACUACAGUAGGUGGAGCUCUGCACCAGGUCCAGAAAGCAGACCUUGAUUCUGCAGCUGACCAUCUUCCUGCUCACUUAAUUCCACCAGCCUCCACUUCUGCUUCUGCACUUAACAGUUACAUUUAUUGAGGACCUCUAUAUCCCAGCCACCGUACUGGGUGAAUUACCUGCCUAGUUUCAUUUUAUUCUCCUGACACCCUGCAAAGAUACAGGUUAAGAUUAAGCUGUUUCUUUCAUGUGAGUCUCAUCACUGAGAUCUGAUUCCACCUACAAAGGCUUUCCUUUAAAGGUGACAAAAGAAUCAGUCAAAAGACCUGCUCAAACUUUCUUCAGCCCAAGUUCUUCAGCAAAAGCUUGGGUCAAUAACAGACCCAAGUUCACAUUGGAGAUGGAAGGCAGGAUAGACUUGAGCAAUUGCUUCUAAGAGCAGUGGAACUGAUGCAUGGCUGUUCACAUGUGAAGUUUUGUUUUUCUCAGAAGGGCAUGAGCUGUCCUACCCUUUAAGAGAAUGUGCAGACAUGAUCGCAAACAGGGUACAAAUGCUGGUCCAUGGAGCAAAGUCUUGGGAGAGUUUACUGACCCAACUGGGUGCAUUGAAAAUGUGCUCAGGGAGUUAUUAUGUCAUGAUCUGUGGAUUAAAUCCUCCCUAAUUAUGCAGUGAUGAAGCAAAGAAGAGUUCCUCACCACAGCUUUGAUGAUGAGAAUUUGGGCUCUUGGAAACAUUCUCAAAGACUUCAGUCAGUCUUGCUCUCUUCUUUCGAAUCAGAUCAAAAGGGGACACAUUUGGGAAAAGUUCUCAAUUCCAGUGAUUCUUUCUCAGCAAGAUUGGAUAAAGUUAGGAAAGAAAGCAAGGGGCUUGGUUAAAAUCAGUGAGGAUCAACUUGUUAUAUUAAUGUAAUGUCAAAUAUUUGUUUGGUUUUUGUGUAUGAUACUGUUAAAUUUAUUUGAUUAUGCAAACUUUAUUUAUUUAUAAGAAAAAUGAAUGUAAAGAUACUAAAUCUGUUACAGAAUGAAACCAAAUCAUGUCUCUUAAUAUUUAUACAAGCAGUGGAAGAAAAUCUCUCUGAUGUCCUUGAAUUUACACUAUGUUUACAUUUCUUUCUUUGAAGCUGUAAUGAAAUCUGGCAUAUAGAUUCUAACUGUGUUUAUGCAGAAUAACUUGAGUGAGAUUUAAGGUCUAAAAAGAAAGUGGGUGUGGAAUAUUUAAAACCCAGAAUCAAAGGCAUCUCUAUUUACGAUAACUUUCAGCUGUAUAAAAACAUUAAGAAAGAUUAUUUAAAUCCAUCUUUUAUUUCAUAAAAUAUUUCAUCAUUGUUCUAA
This 1743-nucleotide long non-coding RNA is filed under the name Homo sapiens (human). Its description in RNAcentral is "HSALNT0088250". Lineage: Eukaryota; Metazoa; Chordata; Mammalia; Primates; Hominidae. The record is from RNAcentral.